ACACCGGCCGCUCUAGUGGUAGCUGUUUUUAUUGGGCCUAAAGCGUUCGUAGCCGGUUUGAUAAGUCACUGGUGAAAUCCUGUAGCUUAACUGUGGGAAUUGCUGGUGAUACUGUUGAACUUGAGGUCGGGAGAGGUUAGCGGUACUCCCAGGGUAGAGGUGAAAUUCUGUAAUCCUGGGAGGACCACCUGUGGCGAAGGCGGCUAACUGGAACGAACCUGACGGUGAGGGACGAAAGCUAGGGGCGCGAACCGGAUUAGAUACCCGGGUAGUCCUAGCCGUAAACGAUGCGGACUUGGUAUUGGGAUGGCUUUGAGCCGCUCCGGUGCCGAAGGGAAGCUGUUAAGUCCGCCGCCUGGGAAGUACGGUCGCAAGACUGAA
Molecule: ribosomal RNA, 381 nt
Filed under: uncultured archaeon
Lineage: Archaea
Description: bacterial SSU rRNA
Rfam family: Archaeal small subunit ribosomal RNA
Source: RNAcentral